RNAcentral lists this ribosomal RNA (523 nucleotides) under uncultured bacterium. RNAcentral describes it as "partial 16S ribosomal RNA". It matches the Rfam family "Bacterial small subunit ribosomal RNA", at positions 899 to 1397 of the family's 1533-position model. The record is from RNAcentral.
ACUCAAAGGAAUUGACGGGGACUUGCACAAGCAGUGGAUUAUGUGGUUUAAUUCGACGGUAAACGAAGAACCUCACCCGGGUUUGAAACCUAGUUGAAGAUCCGCCGAAAGGCGGAUUGUCUCACAAGGACAAUUAGGCAGGUGAUGCAUGGCCGUCGUCAGUUCGUGGUUUGAAUUGUUCCCUUAAGUGGGGUAACGAACGCAACCCUCGUUGCCAGUUACAAGUGUCUGGCGAGACUGCCCCCAUAUGAGUCUUUAUAUAUUUUAUAUUGAAGAUUCAUAUGGGGGAGGAAGGCGAGGAUGACGCCAGGUCAGCAUGUCCCUCUGAUAUCCGGGGCUACACACAUAAUAUAAUGGCCACUACAACGCGACGCAAAGAGGCAACUCAGAGCAAAUCGUUAGAAAGGUGGCCCCAGUUCGGAUUGAGGUCUGCAACUCGACCUCAUGAAGCUAGAAUUGCUAGUAAUCGCGGGUCAGCUAUACCGCGGUGAAUACGUUCUCAAGUCUUGUACACACCGCCCGU